This 774-nucleotide ribosomal RNA is filed under the name uncultured Rhodoferax sp. RNAcentral describes it as "bacterial SSU rRNA". It matches the Rfam family "Bacterial small subunit ribosomal RNA", at positions 8 to 775 of the family's 1533-position model. The record is from RNAcentral. Lineage: Bacteria; Pseudomonadati; Pseudomonadota; Betaproteobacteria; Burkholderiales; Comamonadaceae.
AGAGUUUGAUCAUGGCUCAGAUUGAACGCUGGCGGCAUGCCUUACACAUGCAAGUCGAACGGCAGCACGGGAGCAAUCCUGGUGGCGAGUGGCGAACGGGUGAGUAAUAUAUCGGAACGUGCCCAGUCGUGGGGGAUAACGUAGCGAAAGCUACGCUAAUACCGCAUACGAUCUACGGAUGAAAGCGGGGGACUCGUAAGGGCCUCGCGCGAUUGGAGCGGCCGAUAUCAGAUUAGGUUGUUGGUGAGGUAAAAGCUCACCAAGCCUGCGAUCUGUAGCUGGUCUGAGAGGACGACCAGCCACACUGGAACUGAGACACGGUCCAGACUCCUACGGGAGGCAGCAGUGGGGAAUUUUGGACAAUGGACGCAAGUCUGAUCCAGCAAUGCCGCGUGCAGGACGAAGGCCUUCGGGUUGUAAACUGCUUUUGUACGGAACGAAACGGUCUUCUUUAAUACGGAGGGCUAAUGACGGUACCGUAAGAAUAAGCACCGGCUAACUACGUGCCAGCAGCCGCGGUAAUACGUAGGGUGCGAGCGUUAAUCGGAAUUACUGGGCGUAAAGCGUGCGCAGGCGGUUAUAUAAGUCAGAUGUGAAAUCCCCGGGCUCAACCUGGGACCUGCAUUUGAGACUGUAUAGCUAGAGUACGGUAGAGGGGGAUGGAAUUCCGCGUGUAGCAGUGAAAUGCGUAGAUAUGCGGAGGAACACCGAUGGCGAAGGCAAUCCCCUGGACCUGUACUGACGCUCAUGCACGAAAGCGUGGGGAGCAAACAG